Molecule: long non-coding RNA, 556 nt
Filed under: Actinia tenebrosa (Australian red waratah sea anemone)
Lineage: Eukaryota; Metazoa; Cnidaria; Anthozoa; Actiniaria; Actiniidae
Description: uncharacterized LOC116290899, transcript variant X1
Source: RNAcentral
AUUCAAGAAAUCGAGGCAUUUGCAGAGUAAUGUUGAUCAGCUGGAGAUACCUCACACAUAUUCUAUACCCAAUGGACUAGAGGCAGCUGCUCAAGGAACUACACAUUGUACUUAUUAUAUCCACUACAUUUUUCAAUCUAUGCCCCCACCACUUUUAAGGCAUGAUAACACAAGCAAUUUUCUCUGCAAUUUGUCUCACAAUGGCUUUGGGACACAAGUUGCAUAGAACAUUGCAGUGAGCAACCUGCAACGCAAUUUGGAAAAUGUUGCAAGGCAAGUUACAGAGCAAUGCCAUAGAAUAGGAUUUGUUUCUAUGUUGGCAAUGAUUGCAAAUGAGAUGCACCAUAUCAUCAUUCUUGCACCUUGUGUUGCAACUCUGUUGCAGGGGUUGCAGGGCAGGUUGCAGAGAAAAUUCCUCAGUUUAUAUGCACCUUUAGCACGACUUGUCUAGUAUAUUUUCUAAUCUAAGCCUAUACAUGUAUGCAUCACUGUUAGCAUUUGUUUGUGUAGAGGGAAAGGACCUUCAAAUGUCAAACAAUAAAACAAAUAUAUUGUG